This 442-nucleotide ribosomal RNA is filed under the name uncultured bacterium. RNAcentral describes it as "partial 16S ribosomal RNA". It matches the Rfam family "Bacterial small subunit ribosomal RNA", at positions 338 to 795 of the family's 1533-position model. The record is from RNAcentral.
CCUACGGGAGACAGCAGUGGGGGAUAUUGCACAAUGGGGGAAACCCUGAUGCAGCGACGCCGCGUGGGCGAAGAAGUAUUUCGGCAUGUAAAGCCCUAUCAGCAGGGAAGAAGAAAUGACGGUACCUGCGUAAGAAGCACCGGCUAAAUACGUGCCAGCAGCCGCGGUAAUACGUAUGGUGCAAGCGUUAUCCGGAUUUACUGGGUGUAAAGGGAGCGCAGGCGGCAAGGCAAGCCUGAUGUGAAAGCCCGCGGCCCAACCGCGGGACUGCAUUGGGAACUACCGGGCUGGAGUGCCGGAGAGGUAGGCGGAAUUCCUAGUGUAGCGGUGAAAUGCGUAGAUAUUAGGAGGAACACCAGUGGCGAAGGCGGCCUGCUGGACGGUGACUGACGCUGAGGCUCGAAAGCGUGGGGAGCAAACAGGAUUAGAUACCCCAGUAGUC